UACGUAGGGUGCGAGCGUUGUCCGGAAUUAUUGGGCGUAAAGGGCUCGUAGGCGGUCUGUUGCGUCGGGCGUGAAAACUCAGGGCUUAACCCUGAGCCUGCUUCCGAUACGGGCAGACUAGAGGUAUGCAGGGGAGAACGGAAUUCCUGGUGUAGCGGUGAAAUGCGCAGAUAUCAGGAGGAACACCGGUGGCGAAGGCGGGUCUCUAGUACGGUACUGACGCUGAGACGCGAAAGCGUGGGGAGCGAACAGG
This 253-nucleotide ribosomal RNA is filed under the name uncultured bacterium. RNAcentral's name for it is "partial 16S ribosomal RNA". It matches the Rfam family "Bacterial small subunit ribosomal RNA", at positions 524 to 776 of the family's 1533-position model. The record is from RNAcentral.